ACUCAAAUGAAUAGACGGGGACCCGCACAAGCAGCGGAGCGUGUGGUUUAAUUCGAUGCAACGCGAAGAACCUUACCAAGGUUUGACAUGGCACUGUAAGCGGCGGAAACGUCGCCCCCUUCGGGCAGUGUCACAGGUGCUGCAUGGCUGUCGUCAGCUCGUGUCGUGAGAUGUUGGGUUAAGUCCCGCAACGAGCGCAACCCUCGUGGCUAGUUGUACUUCUCUAGCCAGACCGCCUAUACAAGUAGGAGGAAGGUGGGGAUGAUGUCAAGUCAGCAUGGCCCUUACAUCUUGGGCUACACACACGCUACAAUGGUCGGUACAAUGGGCAGCUAAACCGCGAGGUCCAGCCAAUCCCCAAAGCCGACCCCAGUUCAGAUUGCAGGCUGCAACUCGCCUGCAUGAAGUCGGAGUUGCUAGUAAACGCGCGUCAGCAUAGUGCGUUGAAUAUGUUCCCGGGUCUUGUACACACCGCCCGU
RNAcentral lists this ribosomal RNA (479 nucleotides) under uncultured bacterium. RNAcentral describes it as "partial 16S ribosomal RNA". It matches the Rfam family "Bacterial small subunit ribosomal RNA", at positions 899 to 1397 of the family's 1533-position model. The record is from RNAcentral.